AUUGAACGCUGGCGGCAUGCCUUACACAUGCAAGUCGAACGGCAGCACGGGUGCUUGCACCUGGUGGCGAGUGGCGAACGGGUGAGUAAUACAUCGGAACAUGUCCUGUAGUGGGGGAUAGCCCGGCGAAAGCCGGAUUAAUACCGCAUACGAUCCACGGAUGAAAGCGGGGGACCUUCGGGCCUCGCGCUAUAGGGUUGGCCGAUGGCUGAUUAGCUAGUUGGUGGGGUAAAGGCCUACCAAGGCGACGAUCAGUAGCUGGUCUGAGAGGACGACCAGCCACACUGGGACUGAGACACGGCCCAGACUCCUACGGGAGGCAGCAGUGGGGAAUUUUGGACAAUGGGCGAAAGCCUGAUCCAGCAAUGCCGCGUGUGCGAAGAAGGCCUUCGGGUUGUAAAGCACUUUUGUCCGGAAAGAAAUCCUUGGCUCUAAUACAGUCGGGGGAUGACGGUACCGGAAGAAUAAGCACCGGCUAACUACGUG
RNAcentral lists this ribosomal RNA (486 nucleotides) under uncultured bacterium. RNAcentral describes it as "partial 16S ribosomal RNA". It matches the Rfam family "Bacterial small subunit ribosomal RNA", at positions 30 to 507 of the family's 1533-position model. The record is from RNAcentral.